UACGGAGGGUGCAAGCGUUAUUCGGAAUUACUGGGCGUAAAGCGCACGCAGGCGGUCUGGUAAGUCAGAUGUGAAAUCCCAGGGCUCAACCUUGGAACUGCAUCUGAUACUGGCAAGCUUGAGUAUCGAAGAGGGGGGUAGAAUUCCAGGUGUAGCGGUGAAAUGCGUAGAGAUCUGGAGGAAUACCGGUGGCGAAGGCGGCCCACUGGACGAAGACUGACGCUGAGGUGCGAAAGCGUGGGGAGCAAACAGG
Molecule: ribosomal RNA, 253 nt
Filed under: uncultured bacterium
Lineage: Bacteria
Description: partial 16S ribosomal RNA
Rfam family: Bacterial small subunit ribosomal RNA
Source: RNAcentral